AGUGAACGCUGGCGGUAGGCCUAACACAUGCAAGUCGAACGGCAGCACAGUAAGAGCUUGCUCUUACGGGUGGCGAGUGGCGGACGGGUGAGGAAUACAUCGGAAUCUACUUUUUCGUGGGGGAUAACGUAGGGAAACUUACGCUAAUACCGCAUACGACCUACGGGUGAAAGCAGGGGAUCUUCGGACCUUGCGCGAUUGAAUGAGCCGAUGUCGGAUUAGCUAGUUGGCGGGGUAAAGGCCCACCAAGGCGACGAUCCGUAGAUGGUCUGAGAGGAUGAUCAGCCACACUGGAACUGAGACACGGUCCAGACUCCUACGGGAGGCAGCAGUGGGGAAUAUUGGACAAUGGGCGCAAGCCUGAUCCAACCAUACCGCGUGGGUGAAAAAGGCCUUCGGGUUGUAAAGCCCUUUUGUUGGGAAAGAAAAGCAGCAGGUUAAUACCCCGCUGUUCUGACGGUACCCAAAGAAUAAGCACCGGCUAACUUCGUG
RNAcentral lists this ribosomal RNA (492 nucleotides) under uncultured bacterium. RNAcentral describes it as "partial 16S ribosomal RNA". It matches the Rfam family "Bacterial small subunit ribosomal RNA", at positions 29 to 507 of the family's 1533-position model. The record is from RNAcentral.